UACGAAGGGGGCUAGCGUUGUUCGGAAUUACUGGGCGUAAAGCGCACGUAGGCGGGUUGUUAAGUCAGGGGUGAAAUCCUGGAGCUCAACUCCAGAACUGCCUUUGAUACUGAAGAUCUUGAGUGCGGGAGAGGUGAGUGGAACUGCGAGUGUAGAGGUGAAAAUUCGUAGAUAUUCGCAAGAACACCAGUGGCGAAGGCGGCUCACUGGCCCGAUACUGACGCUGAGGCACGAAAGCGUGGGGAGCAAACAGG
Molecule: ribosomal RNA, 254 nt
Filed under: uncultured bacterium
Lineage: Bacteria
Description: partial 16S ribosomal RNA
Rfam family: Bacterial small subunit ribosomal RNA
Source: RNAcentral